Diprion similis is the source of this 140-nucleotide long non-coding RNA. RefSeq lists it as uncharacterized. The transcript is spliced from 3 exons. NCBI's taxonomy places the organism in Eukaryota, Metazoa, Arthropoda, Insecta, Hymenoptera, Diprionidae. The record is from RefSeq and is a predicted model, not a curated record.
CUCCAAUUUUUCGAGACAUGCUGCAAUAAGCCUGGUUCGCAGCAAACUUAAUCGAAUCUAGAGAUGUUUUCAUGAACGUCAACGAAGUAUAUUUUCCGAAUAGUACACGAAAAAGUAAAUGUGAACGAUGAUCACGACAU